UUAGUCCUUUUAUACCUGUUUUUCUCCUUCUCUUAUUCCAUUUAGUUUUUCAAUUCAUACAAAACCGUAUCCAGGCCAUCACCAAUCAUUCUAUAUGAUAAAUGUUUCUUCUAACAACCCCACAGUAUCACCCCUUACCACAAAAUCUUCCUUCAGCUUAAUCUCUCCCACUCUAGGUUCCCACGCCGCCCCAACACUUCAACACUAUUUUAUUUUUCUUAUUAAUAUAAGAAGUAACUGAAGAAUCACAAAAGAAGUGAAAAGGCCCUGCCCUGCCUUAACUGAUGACAUUCC
Molecule: long non-coding RNA, 294 nt
Filed under: Homo sapiens (human)
Lineage: Eukaryota; Metazoa; Chordata; Mammalia; Primates; Hominidae
Description: HSALNT0350401
Source: RNAcentral